UUCCACAUGGAUGCAGUGGCGAAAUAAUCCACAUCCUUACUUCGGUAAGGACUAAAAGCCGAGCCAGUCUCGCAUUAGCUAGCAGGCGGUCGAAUCAUAAUAAGCCAAGCUCCGGCUUGCACGUUCUUGCCGACCUCAUAGCACCCACAGGAUAAGCCGGACACCAGAACCGCACAUAUAUAGUACAACGAGUCCGCCUUGUCUACUUUCUACUAAGUUCAUCGUUUCGGCUCAAACGUAUACAGGAUAAGUCAAGAGACGUCUUGCCCCAUAAUACGUUUCGAAACUAAGCUUAAAACGCCAAGGAUACCUCGCACAAAAUCAGCCGAGGAUUACCUUGCACAAAAAUGAUAAAGGCAUAAACAGCUUCUCUUAGCACGUAAAAGUCAAACGACUAGACGGGAUAAGCUGAGCUGCAGAUCGCACCUUGUCCGCAAUUACAAUAAGUACAAUAUCAAGAACAAGCAAAAACAAGAACCAAUUGCACCUUCUCAUCAAUAAAAGGAAGCUGCUACAACAACGAUACGACCACAGUACAUUUAAAGGGUCAACAGUACAUAAUGCCGAUCCGACAAGCUACAACAUGCUAAAAAGCCGGAUAAAAUCUACGAAUACUGAAAGAAGAAAAAACAAACAUCAAAUUCUCGUACUCAAAGAGAUCACCAAGGCAUCAGCGACCUAGGUACCAUCUUCCCCCACUCCAGCCUCGGUUACCUCCGUAGGCACGCCAUCCGCAAACUCCGGAAAAGGCUCAAGAUCAUCGUCGCAAAGAUCAGUAAUCGUAAGCGAUUCAACCGUCGCGUGCCAUUUGAGCUUGUCAGCUUUGAGCGUACAAAAACACUUUCGUCGUCCUGGCCGUACCAAGACUCCUUCGCCGUGACGUACGAACUCCACCGAACAAACCUUAUCAUACGAAGUCUGAAGUCUAUCGUACGAAGUCUGUCAUAUGAAGUCUGUCGCACGAAGUCCGACAUACGAAGUCUGUCGUACGAAGUCCGACAUACGAAGUCUGUCAUACGAACUUGCUAAAUGAGCUCUCCAGAAUGACGCCCUUGUCCCGCCGAACGAACCGCGGGUCACGCAAAAUGAACCGCGUGUCGCGCCGAACGAACCGCGGGUCACGCCGAACAAACCGCGGGUCACACCAAACGAACCGUGGGUUACGCCGAACGAACUGCGGGUCACGCCGAACGAACCGUAGGUCACGCCGAACGAACCGCGGGUCACGCCGAACAAACCGC
This 1241-nucleotide long non-coding RNA is filed under the name Arabidopsis lyrata. RNAcentral describes it as "long non-coding RNA (ALYR_LNC002593)". Lineage: Eukaryota; Viridiplantae; Streptophyta; Magnoliopsida; Brassicales; Brassicaceae. The record is from RNAcentral.